Long non-coding RNA from Nilaparvata lugens (brown planthopper), 150 nucleotides. RefSeq lists it as uncharacterized. The transcript is spliced from 3 exons. The record is from RefSeq and is a predicted model, not a curated record. Lineage: Eukaryota; Metazoa; Arthropoda; Insecta; Hemiptera; Delphacidae.
CGUGCAGGUCUCUAUGAAGAUCGCUGUUCCUGACAUACCAAGGAGCAUCCACAAUGUUCCUCAGCACCUGUUCUGGAACCGUUGUAUUACAUUGAUGUUGCUGUCUUUGGUACACCCCCAAAGUUGUAUACCAUAUGUAAUCUUUGAAUA